Sebastes umbrosus (honeycomb rockfish) is the source of this 1006-nucleotide long non-coding RNA. RefSeq lists it as uncharacterized. The record is from RefSeq and is a predicted model, not a curated record. NCBI's taxonomy places the organism in Eukaryota, Metazoa, Chordata, Actinopteri, Perciformes, Sebastidae. The transcript is spliced from 2 exons.
UGUGUGUGUGGGGGGGGGGGGGGUGAUUGGUGCUCAACCCAGCCAGGGACAAUAUCUUCAUCACUUGAUGCUAUCUGGCCUGUCUCCGGGUCACUGACUCCGCAGGAGGAGGGAAGGCAUCAUUUUCUUUUAGGGGGGGGGGGGGUGGUGGUGUGGGAGGUGGGGGGGUGGGUCGGCGGGGGUCACGUUUCAUUAACGAUAAAAAUCCAUAUUUAUCCUCCACAUAAUGACAGUAGAUAGCGACUGAAGUUAGUUUCCAGCUUGAUCUGUAGCAUUCCUCACAUCAAAGAGGGGGGAUGCGUUCAAAGGCUCCUCAGUUUGAAGCUAUGGGAGGCUUUUCAGGGUGACUUUAGAGCGGUAAGCUGCCAGCACAGAUGUGAGCGGAUACUGCAAAAUGUGGGCUGUUGGAAGAAGAAAAAAAAUGUAGAGGUGAAUGGCUAACACUGCUUGGAAAAGUCAUCAUUAGUGACAGAGAAAGGCAUUUUAAGAGAAAGGUUCAUGCAAUCACACAGUCCCGGUUAGAUUAACGCUGUUUCUACCUCGUGAUUGUUGCAACAAAAGAUGAAAUGAUUGUCACCGUGAUGACUUUCUAGAGUUGUGAAAUCCUGUCUCUGUGAGUCUCUAUAAGCCUUCAAACUAAUCUUUUACUCAUACUGGACUUCCUGGAUCAUAUUUCAUGUCUCACUAUUAGGAUACCUGAAGCAACAGCAAUGCAGCACCCUCGCUCUUUUUUUGCUCUGAACAUUCACUAAUGAAAUCCAUAACAGAGACCUGCAGCCUUGUCCCCUUUAUAAGAUGGCCUUUGUUCCACUCACCAGCUGUCAGCCAGAAAGAUCAUUGUCAGAAACCUUCAAUGACAAAGCACAAAUGGAGAAGUGAAAACGCAGCGUACGUAAUCUAACCCCGGACGUCAUAUACAAUUCAGUGGAAGUGGGUGUGCUUGGAUGGAAAUGAUGACACAGACUUGCCAUGAGAAUUUAAAAAUAAAGGUUUAUUUUAGAGAUGA